This is a long non-coding RNA of Oncorhynchus keta (chum salmon), 1428 nucleotides long. RefSeq lists it as uncharacterized. The transcript has 3 exons. NCBI's taxonomy places the organism in Eukaryota, Metazoa, Chordata, Actinopteri, Salmoniformes, Salmonidae. The record is from RefSeq and is a predicted model, not a curated record.
AGAAGCAUAAAAAAAAGUAAAGAUGACAAAGUAGUUUGUUUUUGUCUUUAACGCAGCUGUUUAUCACCUGUGAAUAUGGUAAAUAAGAAAGGUUGAAGAGUACAAUGGUGCCCCAGAGUCUGCAACACCGCCAAGCAAGAGGCACCGCCAAGCAAGAGGCACCGCCAAGCAAGAGGCACCGCCAAGCAAGAGGCACCGCCAAGCAAGAGGCACCGCCAAGCAAGAGGCACCGCCAAGCAAGAGGCACCGCCAAGCAAGCGGCACUAUGAAGACCAAGGAGAUCUCCAAACAGAGACACAGUGCCUGAGUUGUCUGGCCCUCCAUCAUUCAUCACCUUUCCACACCCAUCAAUAAAUCUCUAUGGACACACCCUACUGCAAGUCAACCUGAUUGGUGGACAUACUACCUGUGGUCAUAGUGCACACUCUAGUGGUAGCAGAGAGAGACAUCAAAACCACGGAACCUUCCAGAUGAUAUCACAACUGUCGCAUUAUCAUUGACAGAAGUAAAGUCUGUAAUCCAAGGCAUAUUCUUUUUUAUUUUGCCAAGUGGGACAUGAUCGUUGAUCAUGAUUGUUUUGGUACCUGGAUCAACAAUACAAUACCAACAGGGUAUAAACCAGGUAGUUUGGCUAUUGGAUGCUGAUUGUCUGAAAGCUGUGGUAUAUGAGACAAUAUACUAUGGGUAUGAGGCAAAGCUACUUGUUUGCUGGUCUAAUUGCGUUGGGAACCUGUUUAUAAUAGCAAUAAAUCACCUCAGGAGUUUGUGGCAUACACAGUGGCGACCCGUCAUUCAGAGCCCCACUUGUUUUGAGCCCCACCUGUUUAGCAAAAUAAUAUAUAUAUAUACAUAUACAGUACCAGUCAAGAGUUUGGACACACCUACUCAUUCAAGGGUUUUUCUUUAUUUAGACUAUUUUCUACAUUGUGGAAUAAUAGUGAAGACAUCAAAACUAUGGAAUAACACGUAUGGAAUCAUGUUGUAACCAAAAAAGUGUGCAACAAAUCCAAAUGUAUUUUAUAUUUGAUAUUCUUCAAAGUAGCCACCUUUUGCCUUGAUGACAGCUUUGCACACUCUUGGCAUUCUCUCAAUCAGCUUCAGGAGGUAGUCACCUGGAAUGCAUUUCAAUUAACAGGUGUGCCUUGUUAAAUGUUCAUUUGUGGAAUUUCCUUCCUUCUUAAUGCAUUUGAGCCACUCAGUUGUGUUGUGACAAGGUAGGGUUGGCAUACAGAAGAUAGCCCUAUUUGGUAAAAGACCAAGUCCAUAUUUUGGCAAGAACAGCUCAAAUAAGCAAAGAGAAUUGACAGUCCAUCAUUACUUUAAGACAUAAAAGUCCGUCAAUGCGGAACAUUUCAAGAGCUUUGAAAGUUUCUUCAAGUGCAGUCGCAAAAACCAUCAAGUGCUAUGAUGAAACUGGCUCUCAUGAGG